Molecule: long non-coding RNA, 1050 nt
Filed under: Falco tinnunculus (common kestrel)
Lineage: Eukaryota; Metazoa; Chordata; Aves; Falconiformes; Falconidae
Description: lncRNA (ENSFTIG00000006987.1)
Source: RNAcentral
AUGGCAUUUCUCGGUGGUCGGAGAGACCUUCCAGGCCGUGUCUGGGGGCUGGAAAGGCCGAUCAGCUCUUACGUGUGUCCGGGGGGGCGAGCUGCCACCGGGGCCUUCCUCCUCCUCCUCCUCCUCCUCCUCCGAGGUGCUGUCGCUGCCCGAGUCCUCCAGCCCCGAGUAGACACUCUCCUCGCUGUCCGUCAGCUCCUCGCUCUCCCCGGCAGGACACGGCUGGAAGGGAACGGGCCAGGGGAGCGCGUUAGCGGCCCUCGCCUCACGGAGGGGCCGCACGGCCCGGCCCGGCCCCCCUGCAAUGCCAGGGACCCCGGGACCGGACCGGGCCCCCUCGGGACGAGGCCAGGCCCCACUAGGCACCACCGGGACAGGGCUGGGACCCCCAGAACAAGGCAGGGACCGGGCCGGGCCCCCCUCCCCGCAGUGCCAGGGAUCCCCCCGGGACCGGGGUGGUCCCCCCCCGGGACAAGACCGGGCCCCACUAGGCGCCACCGGGACCGGGCCGGGACCCCCGGAAGAAGGCCGGGACCGGGCCGGACCCCCCGCAGUGCCAGGGCCCCCCGGGACCGGGCCGAGCCCCACCGCCCCCGUAACCAUGGCAAGGCGCGCCCCGACCUGCUCCAUGGCUCCGUCCCGCGACCCCGCGUGCGCCGCCGGCCGCGCCGCGCACCACGUGCGCGCAGGUCAGAGGUCACGGCACCGCCCCCCCUUCCCGCCGCCCCCGUUCCCCGCCCAAACCCAGCAGCGCCCAGACGGCGGCACCGGGGCAGGGGCGGGGGGAGGGGGAGCCGCGCUCCCAGUGGCGGCGGGGGGGGAGGGGGGGCAUGGCGGGGGGAUUUGAGGAGGGGUCAAAGGGGAGAGGUGACCCGGCGCGGCGCGCAUGCGCACAGCGGGAGCGGGGCGGCGCACUGCGCUUGCGCGCGGGCCGAGCGGGCAGACGCCGCCGUCGCGCCGGGGGGACGGCGCACGCGCAGGCGGGGAGGCCCGCCGCGGCGGCGGGGGCGCCGGCCGGGGGGGCGCACGCGCGCGGGUUGCCGACAGUGA